Molecule: non-coding RNA, 597 nt
Organism: Pelobates cultripes (western spadefoot toad)
Lineage: Eukaryota; Metazoa; Chordata; Amphibia; Anura; Pelobatidae
Source: the annotation of a GenBank genome assembly
CCUUUGUCUAGUAUGUUUCCCAGUCUUCACUCAUCCUGAUACUGGCAUCUUCCCAACUUCUCUAAAGUAGGAAUUUGUAAUUACCCUAGUUUGACUUCUUCUACCAUCCCAUAUCUGAUACUGUUACUAACCUCACUAAAUGUAGUGUCGUCUCCCACUAUCCAACUCAGUUGGUUUCCCCCAAGAAUUAGGUCUUUGCACAUUUUAUGUUUUGUUUUUUAACACCGGAUCUCUUGGUAAUCAUAGCUCCAGUGUCUAAUCCCCAUAUAAAUGGUACAACAUUUUUUUAUGUAGCUCUCCUUGUCAACAAACUAGGUAUCCCUGGGUUUUUCUAAAAGGAACUUGUAACCUUUCAAAUAUUACAUGCAUUACCCUAACUCUGCAUGAUCACAGCCUUGGACUUUACAAUUCUUGUCUUCUCCCCUCAUCCAGUCUAAUAUCAUAUAAGCCACACCUGAAAUUUCCUAUAUUUGCCCUAAUGGCUUUUGUCCAUGCCCUUAUUUCCUGCUUUGAAUAAUUCCACUCACUUGUCAGCCUUUCAAAUACCUGCAUUGACCCACUUUAAACUAUUCCUUCAACAGUUACCUUACAUAGCGC